GUAGGGAAUCUUCCACAAUGGGCGCAAGCCUGAUGGAGCAACGCCGCGUGAGUGAGGAAGGCCUUCGGGUCGUAAAGCUCUGUUGCCAGGGAAGAAUAAGGAUGAGGUAACUGCUCAUCCGAUGACGGUACCUGAGAAGAAAGCCCCGGCUAACUACGUGCCAGCAGCCGCGGUAAUACGUAGGGGGCGAGCGUUGUCCGGAAUUAUUGGGCGUAAAGCGCGCGCAGGCGGUUUCUUAAGUCUGGUGUUUAAGUGCGGGGCUCAACCCCGUGUCGCAUUGGAAACUGGGGAACUGGAGUGCAGAAGAGGAGAGCGGAAUUCCACGUGUAGCGGUGAAAUGCGUAGAGAUGUGGAGGAACACCAGUGGCGAAGGCGGCUCUCUGGUCUGUAACUGACGCUGAGGCGCGAAAGCGUGGGGAGCAAACAGGAUUAGAUACCCUGGUAGUCC
This 448-nucleotide ribosomal RNA is filed under the name uncultured bacterium. RNAcentral's name for it is "bacterial SSU rRNA". It matches the Rfam family "Bacterial small subunit ribosomal RNA", at positions 354 to 796 of the family's 1533-position model. The record is from RNAcentral.